GAAAUGUUUGUGCAUUUUUAUUUUGUAUAAAACACUAAUAUAUUCUAGUGAUGUUAAAUUAUAAAUACCCGUCACACUUGGAGAGGUCUACUUCGUGGUACCACAAAUCCACUGGGAGGGUUAUAUGGACCAAAAUCUUUUCAGUAUGGUAUCGCUCUUUGCCAUUGUGAAUGCAUGCAGGAUUAAACUCAUUAAAUUAACCUUUUACACUUUUUUUUUUUUUUUCCUGUUCUUUGUUUUAUCCUUUUAAGUAUUGUACGCAAUGCAUUACAAAGAGCUGAUUGAUGUAUUUAUA
Molecule: non-coding RNA, 295 nt
Organism: Pelobates cultripes (western spadefoot toad)
Lineage: Eukaryota; Metazoa; Chordata; Amphibia; Anura; Pelobatidae
Source: the annotation of a GenBank genome assembly